GUGGGUAUAGCUCAGUGGUAGAGUGCAUGCUUAGCAUGCAUGAGGUCCUGGGUUCAAUUCCCAGUAUCUCCA
This 72-nucleotide transfer RNA is filed under the name Camelus bactrianus (Bactrian camel). It matches the Rfam family "tRNA". Rfam says of the family: Transfer RNA (tRNA) molecules are approximately 80 nucleotides in length. Lineage: Eukaryota; Metazoa; Chordata; Mammalia; Artiodactyla; Camelidae. The record is from Rfam by way of RNAcentral. RNAcentral also lists the same sequence under 2 other names.